RNAcentral lists this ribosomal RNA (494 nucleotides) under uncultured Chitinophagaceae bacterium. RNAcentral's name for it is "bacterial SSU rRNA". It matches the Rfam family "Bacterial small subunit ribosomal RNA", at positions 20 to 507 of the family's 1533-position model. The record is from RNAcentral. Lineage: Bacteria; Pseudomonadati; Bacteroidota; Chitinophagia; Chitinophagales; Chitinophagaceae.
UGGCUCAGGAUGAACGCUAGCGGCAGGCUUAAUACAUGCAAGUCGUGGGGCAGCGCAGUGUAGCAAUACAUGGGCGGCGACCGGCAAACGGGUGCGGAACACGUACACAACCUUCCUACAAGUGGGGAAUAGCCCAGAGAAAUUUGGAUUAAUACCCCGUAACAUAUAAAGAUGGCAUCAUUUUUAUAUUAUAGCUACGGCGCUUGUUGAUGGGUGUGCGGCUGAUUAGGUAGUUGGCGGGGUAAUGGCCCACCAAGCCUGCGAUCAGUAGCUGAUGUGAGAGCAUGAUCAGCCACACGGGCACUGAGACACGGGCCCGACUCCUACGGGAGGCAGCAGUAAGGAAUAUUGGACAAUGGGCGCAAGCCUGAUCCAGCCAUGCCGCGUGAAGGAUUAAGGUCCUCUGGAUUGUAAACUUCUUUUAUAAGGGACGAAAAAAGGGAAUUCUUUCUCACUUGACGGUACCUUAUGAAUAAGCACCGGCUAACUCCGUG